Molecule: RNA transcript, 983 nt
Organism: Dendrobium catenatum
Lineage: Eukaryota; Viridiplantae; Streptophyta; Magnoliopsida; Asparagales; Orchidaceae
Exons: 5
Source: RefSeq, a predicted model, not a curated record
UCUCCUUCGCAGCUCUACGUUUUUUGGCGCUGAUAGCGCUCAGCUAUGGACAGCGAAGAUCCCUCUCCUCAAAUGGCAUCGCCUCUCGCGGCAACUGGCAAUGCGACGGCGGUGGAUUCUAAGGCUGGUCUGAUGAAUUACGAUGAGGCUGAGCCUAUUUGCCACCGUGAGGGCUGUGAAGCCCUAUCGAGGGCGAUUUCGUCGACGCUGGGUGCGGUGAUGAGCGAGUUCGAUUCCAGAGCUGAUGGCGCCUCUCGUAGCCAGGAUGAGUUGUGUUUGACGAUAGAUCGACUCACAGGAGAGUUAGACAAAUUACUGGAAGAUGCACCAUUGUCCUUCAUAAUGCAAAAUGCUGCCAAGAUUACAUCUGUUCGUAGGAGAGUUUCUGCUCUAAAUUUGGUGUUGAAAUCAAUACAGAGGCGUCUGGAUAACAUUGAUCGAAUGCUAUCUACUAGUUUACCUGAAGAGAAACGUCCUCCAGAUAUUGUCAAGGCUUCAUAAUUGGCUUUAUUAUUCAGCUAUGAAUAUUGGGGGAGAGGUCACUUAUGUGCCAGCUUUCUAGAAGAAUUUCAAACCUUUGAGCUGUUUAGACUCUAAUGAGUGUAGAUUCAUUGAAGGUCAUCACAUUUACUGGUGAUGCAAAAUAAGCCUAACACGAAAAAGAUCGCCGCCGCCGCCGCCGCCAAUAACAACAUUGAGUUUAAUCCCUUUUCUCGAUUGUGCCCUGUUAAGAGCUAGAUACUCGGCAAGACCCUUCCCUUUCCUAAAAUAUUUUAAGCAACAAUAUGAGUACAUGACUUAAUAACUCAACCGGUCUCCGCAAAAGAAUUCAAUUCACAAAUUGCAAUUUAAAUGAGCAAGAAUAUAAAAUUUAUAGUUUUAUUCUAACUUAUAAUAGAGCAUGAUUUGUACUAUAUACAGCACGACAACAAAACAAUUUUAAACUUACGUGCCGCCAUGGAUGCAAAAUGCAUAUGUUUCAA